UAUAACGGUCCUAAGGUAGCGAAAUUCCUUGUCGGUUAAAUACCGACCUGCAUGAAUGGCGUAACGAGAUGGGAGCUGUCUCAAAGAGGGAUCCAGUGAAAUUGUAGUGGAGGUGAAAAUUCCUCCUACCCGCGGCAAGACGGAAAGACCCCGUGGACCUUUACUACAGCUUGACACUGCUAUUUGGAUAAGAAUGUGCAGGAUAGGUGGGAGGCUUUGAGUAUAUGACGCCAGUUGUAUAUGAGCCAUUGUUGAGAUACCACUCUUUCUUAUUUGGGUAGCUAACCAGCUUGAGUUAUCCUCAAGUGGGACAA
This 314-nucleotide ribosomal RNA is filed under the name Campylobacter coli. RNAcentral describes it as "bacterial LSU rRNA". It matches the Rfam family "Bacterial large subunit ribosomal RNA", at positions 1941 to 2254 of the family's 2925-position model. Lineage: Bacteria; Pseudomonadati; Campylobacterota; Epsilonproteobacteria; Campylobacterales; Campylobacteraceae. The record is from RNAcentral. RNAcentral also lists the same sequence under 1 other name.